GGGGGUCUAGCUCAGUGGUAGAGCGUCCGCUUUGCAUUCACUUAAACAUGUGAUGGUGCGCGUGCGGAAGGUCAGGUGUUCAAUCCAUCUGUCCUCCA
Molecule: non-coding RNA, 98 nt
Organism: Diaporthe citri
Lineage: Eukaryota; Fungi; Ascomycota; Sordariomycetes; Diaporthales; Diaporthaceae
Source: the annotation of a RefSeq genome assembly